This 494-nucleotide ribosomal RNA is filed under the name uncultured bacterium. RNAcentral describes it as "partial 16S ribosomal RNA". It matches the Rfam family "Bacterial small subunit ribosomal RNA", at positions 28 to 504 of the family's 1533-position model. The record is from RNAcentral.
GAUGAACGCUGGCGGCGUGCCUAAUACAUGCAAGUCGAGCGAACGGACGAGAAGCCUGCUUCUCUGAUGUUAGCGGCGGACGGGUGAGUAACACGUGGAUAACCUACCUAUAAGACUGGGAUAACUUCGGGAAACCGUAGCUAAUACCGGAUAAUAUUUUGAACCGCAUGGUUCAAAAGUGAAAGACGGUCUUGCUGUCACUUAUAGAUGGAUCCGCGCUGCAUUAGCUAGUUGGUAAGGUAACGGCUUACCAAGGCAACGAUGCAUAGCCGACCUGAGAGGGUGAUCGGCCACACUGGAACUGAGACACGGUCCAGACUCCUACGGGAGGCAGCAGUAGGGAAUCUUCCGCAAUGGGCGAAAGCCUGACGGAGCAACGCCGCGUGAGUGAUGAAGGUCUUCGGAUCGUAAAACUCUGUUAUUAGGGAAGAACAUAUGUGUAAGUAACUGUGCACAUCUUGACGGUACCUAAUCAGAAAGCCACGGCUAACUAC